UAGUGGUAUGACUAUAUGAUGUGUGGAACUGUUGAAGCCAUCUUGUCACUAUGAGGUCACAACUUCAAGGAUGAGAGGCCCACACACUGUGGAUGCCCAAAUAGAAGGAUGAGAAAAGCCUGGGUUUUUGAUGGCAUUGCUGAGCUUCAGAACAAACCCUAGGCUCACCUAUCUCCAGCCUCUCAUCAAGGAAAACAACAAUUGUCUUUAUGGUUCAAAUCACUGGGCAAAGCAGUGGAGACCACCUGAGUGGGGGAACUGCAUUUAUUCAUAUACACAUUUUACAAACCUUUCUUGAGGAUGACUGAAAUUCUAAAUCACUUAGCUAAGAACCAUAAGGGGAGACAAAUUACCUUAUGCUCAUACGUGUCAUAUACGGAGCUUCCAUUGAGGAGGAGCAGGCGGGAAUUGAAACAGGAAAAAUUUCCACUUAUAGCAACACAUGCCCUAGGAGAUAUCACAAUUAAAUAUUGUGUUUCAUCAUAACUGAUUCUAAGCAGCUGAAGUGGACCCAAACGCCAAACCCCCACUGGACUCAACUAAAGACUCUUUCCUCAACAAUGAACGAUGGAUUUGUUUGAACCAACCAGGUACAGACCUUUAGAUUAAUUUCUGGAGUGCUGGUUUUCGAGCCUUAAUCAUUGUGAGCCCCUCUCCAAGAUUAAACAUCCCCGACUCUCCCUCCUCGGCUGACUAUUCAGUGAAUUUCUUCACUUGUGCGUGUUUCCUCGCCUGGCGAGUCAAUAAACGUGGCUUUGUGGCUUUUAUUUAUUUUA
Molecule: long non-coding RNA, 776 nt
Organism: Equus caballus (horse)
Lineage: Eukaryota; Metazoa; Chordata; Mammalia; Perissodactyla; Equidae
Source: RefSeq, a predicted model, not a curated record